GAUGAAGAACGUAGCGAAAUGCGAUAAGUAGUGUGAAUUGCAGAAUUCAGUGAAUCAUCGAAUCUUUGAACGCACAUUGCGCCCCUUGGUAUUCCAUGGGGCAGGCCUGUUCGAGCGUCAUUUGUACCUUCAAGCUUUGCUUGGUGUUGGGUGUUUGUCUCGCCUUUGCGUGUAGACUCGCCUUAAAAUAAUUGGCAGCCGGCGUAUUGAUUUCGGAGCGCAGUACAUCUCGCGCUUUGCACUCAUAACGACAGCGUCCAAAAGUACAUUUUACACUCUUGACCUCGGAUCAGGUAGGGAUACCCGCUGAACUUAAGCAUAUCAAUAAGCGGAGGA
This 336-nucleotide unclassified non-coding RNA is filed under the name soil metagenome. Its description in RNAcentral is "partial contains 5.8S ribosomal RNA, internal transcribed spacer 2, and large subunit ribosomal RNA". The stretch from base 1 to 120 matches the Rfam family "5.8S ribosomal RNA", at positions 35 to 154 of the family's 154-position model. The record is from RNAcentral.